Molecule: transfer RNA, 85 nt
Filed under: Felis catus (domestic cat)
Lineage: Eukaryota; Metazoa; Chordata; Mammalia; Carnivora; Felidae
Also listed under: 1 other name
Rfam family: tRNA
About the family: Transfer RNA (tRNA) molecules are approximately 80 nucleotides in length. Their secondary structure includes four short double-helical elements and three loops (D, anti-codon, and T loops).
Source: Rfam by way of RNAcentral
GCCUGGGUGGCUCAGUCGGUUGAGCGUCCGACUUCGGCUCAGGUCAUGAUCUCACGGUCUGUGGGUUCGAGCCCUGCAUCGGGCU